RNAcentral lists this unclassified non-coding RNA (352 nucleotides) under soil metagenome. RNAcentral describes it as "partial contains 5.8S ribosomal RNA, internal transcribed spacer 2, and large subunit ribosomal RNA". The stretch from base 1 to 120 matches the Rfam family "5.8S ribosomal RNA", at positions 35 to 154 of the family's 154-position model. The record is from RNAcentral.
GAUGAAGAACGCAGCGAAAUGCGAUAAGUAAUGUGAAUUGCAGAAUUCAGUGAAUCAUCGAAUCUUUGAACGCACAUUGCGCCCGCCAGUAUUCUGGCGGGCAUGCCUGUUCGAGCGUCAUUACAACCCUCAGGCCCCCGGGCCUGGCGUUGGGGAUCGGCGGAGCCCCCCGUGGGCACACGCCGUCCCCCAAAUGUAGUGGCGGUCCCGCCGCAGCUUCCAUCGCGUAGUAGCUAACACCUCGCGACUGGAGAGCGGCGCGGCCACGCCGUAAAACACCCAACUCUUCUGAAGUUGACCUCGAAUCAGGUAGGAAUACCCGCUGAACUUAAGCAUAUCAAUAAGCGGAGGA